Long non-coding RNA from Limulus polyphemus (Atlantic horseshoe crab), 180 nucleotides. RefSeq lists it as uncharacterized. Lineage: Eukaryota; Metazoa; Arthropoda; Merostomata; Xiphosura; Limulidae. The transcript has 2 exons. The record is from RefSeq and is a predicted model, not a curated record.
GGUAUGAAGACAAAACAGGAAUACAUUCAUACAAAAGUAGAACAUUGUAGGAAAUAAAGCACUCAUCACAACUUCUGUAUGUACACUAUAUAUCCCAAGGAAUGAAGUCAAGUUUCAUCACAAGUUUGACAGAUCCAAACUGCUGUGAUACUGGAAUAGAUGAAUGACAACACUACUAAU